Molecule: long non-coding RNA, 674 nt
Filed under: Pan troglodytes (chimpanzee)
Lineage: Eukaryota; Metazoa; Chordata; Mammalia; Primates; Hominidae
Description: long non-coding RNA NONPTRT013111
Source: RNAcentral
UGCCGGGCCAGGCUCCGGGGCACGCCGCUGCGGCAGCCGCACCUCGCAGGUCCCCCGGCCGACCCCGACGCGGAAGCGGCGGCCCUCCUCGCCGUCGGGGAGCCAGGGAGCCGGGGACGGUACGAUCAGUCACAUAAGGCUUAGAGGAUCAAGUAUCCUGCCCAGAUGACUUACCGAAAUGUUACAGAUUAAGUUGGUGUGGUAACCUGGGCUGAGCACUCUGGGAGAGGAAGAGAAGAGAGAAGACAGGAAACAACUGAACUAUGACCAAUCCCAGCACGGAGGCCCAGAAAACUUUAAGAUUUGAGUAUUAAUGUCUCAAGGUCAGGAGCAACCUCAAGGCUAAAACUCAGAUCUCAGGACUCAGUUUCACAGAAGUUCCACUAUAAAGGCAAUAAUCUAAAGCUUUAAAUGAUAUGAAAAUUUUGUAAUAAGAGUUCAGUAUUUCUGCCAACAUUGGCGCAUGGAUUGCAAAGUUCACAGGAUUGAAAACACCAUCGACAUAAUGGAAAUUGAACAGCAUCUGAUUACUGAGUGCUAUAUCAGCAAGUUAAAAGGAUCUUUUGCAUACCUUUUAAUGGUAUAUAUCCUAAAACUGAAGUGUUCAAUAUAGACAUCCAGAUUGAAACUCAGGCAGUGAAUUACAUACACAACAAAUCAGUUGAACAUGGCAG